UACGUUGCUUCAUCGUAAGAGUUUACAACUGAGAGCUUAUCAGGUUUUUGAAUACCCAUGAAUAAUAAUGGUUGUAUGAGGAAUAAAGGUAUCUAAAUAUCUUGAUCAGCUUCCCCACAUUGAUUCGAAAUAAUACCUUAAAUAUUUUAUAAUAUAAAGAGAGGGGGCUUCGAUGGGAGAGGGUCAGAAGGCUUAUUGAUGCUGCUACCAAAAUAAAACAACAAACCCAAACCGGAAACUGUGAUGAACGCCGUUGCCAGGGGAACAGGAUGUCAAGCUGUUCAUGAAGAAAAUAAGACGCGCGGACAAUAAACAGGAGGGGAUAAAAUAGAA
Nematostella vectensis (starlet sea anemone) is the source of this 333-nucleotide long non-coding RNA. RefSeq lists it as uncharacterized. NCBI's taxonomy places the organism in Eukaryota, Metazoa, Cnidaria, Anthozoa, Actiniaria, Edwardsiidae. The transcript is spliced from 2 exons. The record is from RefSeq and is a predicted model, not a curated record.